GUAGCCUUAGAAUCGAAUCAUCUUGUCAAUCCUCACUUCAAUCGUAAGUUGAUUCAAGUCAGCGAGAAAGAAGGGAAUUGCUUGGUUGAUAGGGCCCCGCCCUUCGAGUUUGUCUCCAUCCCGUACUGAUUAGAAAGAUUUACGCGGUUAGAUCGAAAUUACUUAUUAUCGACACGGAUUGGUAACUCCUUCUACUGAUAGAAAAGAAAAGAACAAGCAUAUUGCUUGCAAAGACUCCCACCCUAUUCUUAUUAGUAGGCAAGGGUCACUCACAACGGAUAUCAUUAUGGCACCCGGGCAGUACGAGAUCAGGGAGCCUUCCAAAGGGCUCUAUUACCUAGAUUGGAUAGUCAGAAGGGGCGCCCCACCCAAUGUGAAUUGAGAAGUAUUAAAGAUCGUAUAGAGACGAUAGAAUAUAACACUACUUUAAGUUGAACGGCUG
Molecule: long non-coding RNA, 442 nt
Filed under: Oryza brachyantha (malo sina)
Lineage: Eukaryota; Viridiplantae; Streptophyta; Magnoliopsida; Poales; Poaceae
Description: long non-coding RNA (OBRA_LNC003513)
Source: RNAcentral